CCAUAUCAAUUCUCAUCAACGGCCUUACCAACUCAAUGCUCAGCAAAGCUCCUAUCAGUUUAGGGCUCCACAAGGACCAAACCCAAACAUCAAUGCUCCACAAGGUGCACACCAUAACCUUAGCUCACAGCAAGGUGCGUACCAUAACCUUAACUCACAACAAGGUGCGUACCAUGACCUUAACUCACAGCAAGGUGCCUACAAGUACGGACCCUGAUGAGUUCAGAGUUUCUGUAUCAUAGUUAUUCUAGAUGACUGUUGGUGUUAUUAGUGUAACCAAUAGUAUACGUAGAAGAUACUUCUAUUUUGCCAAUCUACUUUCGAGCU
This 327-nucleotide long non-coding RNA is filed under the name Fragaria vesca (wild strawberry). RNAcentral describes it as "long non-coding RNA (FVES_LNC003298)". Lineage: Eukaryota; Viridiplantae; Streptophyta; Magnoliopsida; Rosales; Rosaceae. The record is from RNAcentral.